This 252-nucleotide ribosomal RNA is filed under the name uncultured bacterium. Its description in RNAcentral is "partial 16S ribosomal RNA". It matches the Rfam family "Bacterial small subunit ribosomal RNA", at positions 524 to 776 of the family's 1533-position model. The record is from RNAcentral.
UACGUAGGGGGCAAGCGUUGUCCGGAUUUAUUGGGCGUAAAGAGCGUGUAGGCGGCUUGGUAGGUCUCGCGUCAAAACCUGAGGCUCAACCUCAGUUCGCGUGGGAAACCACCUAGCUAGAGUCCGGAAGAGGAGAACGGUAUUCCCAGUGUAGCGGUGAAAUGCGCAGAUAUUGGGAAGAACACCAGUGGCGAAGGCGGUUCUCUGGGACGGUACUGACGCUGAGACGCGAAAGCGUGGGGAGCGAACAGG